Molecule: ribosomal RNA, 254 nt
Filed under: uncultured bacterium
Lineage: Bacteria
Description: partial 16S ribosomal RNA
Rfam family: Bacterial small subunit ribosomal RNA
Source: RNAcentral
CACGUAGGGUGCGAGCGUUGUCCGGAAUUAUUGGGCGUAAAGAGCUCGUAGGCGGUGUGUCGCGUCGGCCGUGAAAACCUGCAGCUUAACUGUGGGCUUGCGGUCGAUACGGGCAUCACUAGAGUUCGGCAGGGGAGACUGGAAUUCCUGGUGUAGCGGUGAAAUGCGCAGAUAUCAGGAGGAACACCGGUGGCGAAGGCGGGUCUCUGGGCAUUAACUGACGCUGAGGAGCGAAAGCAUGGGGAGCGAACAGG